This 865-nucleotide ribosomal RNA is filed under the name uncultured archaeon. RNAcentral's name for it is "bacterial SSU rRNA". It matches the Rfam family "Archaeal small subunit ribosomal RNA", at positions 19 to 859 of the family's 1478-position model. The record is from RNAcentral.
GGACCUCACUGCUAUCGGGGUGGGACUAAAACAUGCAAGUCGAGCGCCUCCAAGCUAUGGUGAAGGCGCGGCAAACGGCUCAGUAACACGUGGCCAACCUACCCUUGGGACGGAGACAACCCCGGGAAACUGGGGCUAAUCCCCGAUAGGUAAGGAACCCUGGAAUGGACCCUUGCCCAAAAGACGUUGAGUCCAUGCUAUUCAGCGUCGCUCAAGGAUGGAGCCGCGGCCGAUCAGGUUGUUGGUGAGGCAACGGCUCACCAAGCCUAUAACCGGUACGGGCCGUGAGAGCGGGAGCCCGGAGAUGGGCACUGAGACAAGGGCCCAGGCCCUACGGGGCGCAGCAGUUGCGAAAACUCCGCAAUGCGCGAAAGCGUGACGGGGCUACCCCGAGUGCCGUCCGUUGAGGACGGCUUUUCCAUGGUGUAAGGAGCCGUGGGAAUAAGGAGAGGGCAAGCCUGGUGUCAGCCGCCGCGGUAAUACCAGCUCUCCGAGUGGUGAGGACGAUUAUUGGGCUUAAAGCGUUCGUAGCCGGCUUAACAAGUCUUCCGUUAAAUCCAACGAUCUAAUCGUUGGUCUGCGGGAGAUACUGUUGGGCUAGGAGGCGGGAGAAGCCGACGGUAUUCUCGGGGUAGGGGUGAAAUCCUGUAAUCCCGGGAGGACCACCAGUGGCGAAGGCGGUCGGCUAGAACGCGCUCGACGGUGAGGGACGAAAGCUGGGGGAGCGAACCGGAUUAGAAACCCGGAUAGUCCCAGCUGUAAACGAUGCGGGCUAGGUGUUGGGGUGGCCACGAGCCACUUCAGUGCCGCAUGGAAGCAAUUAAGCCCGCCGCCUGGGGAGUACGGCCGCAAGGCUGAAACUUAA